GGCAUGGUGUAAUGGUUUGAGUGUUGGAUUCCCACUCUGGAGACCUGGGUUUGAUUCCCCGCUCUGCCA
This 69-nucleotide transfer RNA is filed under the name Phrynosoma platyrhinos (Desert horned lizard). RNAcentral's name for it is "tRNA-OTHER". Lineage: Eukaryota; Metazoa; Chordata; Lepidosauria; Squamata; Phrynosomatidae. The record is from RNAcentral.